GAAAUAAAUUUCAUCAUUCGAUUUAGAAUACAGAGUCACUUUGUUGAGAUCUGUCACGAUGAGAAGAAAGAGAGCCAAGAAUGGGCGCAGUACGUCGUUGAAGAUGACUCUAAAUCAAGUGCUGCGGGAAGAGUAUCGUGCACCAUUCAUCGAUCAGGUCACAUGAGUUUUGUGGCCUUGACCGAAGUACGGGCAGUUCGGUAUAUAAAAUAACCCGUAGAAAUGAUUUCAAGGUUUCCCGCUUGAAUUUAUAAGCAGAUAAUACACUUCUUCAAUGUACUUUGUUCGACUUUGUUAAGUCCAAACUCCCAAUUAAAUUCCGUUCGUAGUGAAAAGAUAUCGAUCAAGUAUGUACAUUGUUAUAACAAUAUGCAUGUUUUCUUACAUCAUUAUACUAAAAGAAAUGAGCUCAAAUUGAAUAAAUCUACAAACAUCAUCGUUUCAAA
Long non-coding RNA from Contarinia nasturtii (swede midge), 446 nucleotides. RefSeq lists it as uncharacterized. The transcript is spliced from 3 exons. The record is from RefSeq and is a predicted model, not a curated record. NCBI's taxonomy places the organism in Eukaryota, Metazoa, Arthropoda, Insecta, Diptera, Cecidomyiidae.